UAGUAGCGGCGAGCGAGCGGGAAGAGCUCAAAUUUAUAAUCUGGCACCUUCGGUGUCCGAGUUGUAAUCUCUAGAAAUGUUUUCCGCGUUGGACCGCACACAAGUCUGUUGGAAUACAGCGGCAUAGUGGUGAGACCCCCGUAUAUGGUGCGGACGCCCAGCGCUUUGUGAUACAUUUUCGAAGAGUCGAGUUGUUUGGGAAUGCAGCUCAAAUUGGGUGGUAAAUUCCAUCUAAAGCUAAAUAUUGGCGAGAGACCGAUAGCGAACAAGUACCGUGAGGGAAAGAUGAAAAGCACUUUGGAAAGAGAGUUAACAGUACGUGAAAUUGUUGGAAGGGAAACGCUUGAAGUCAGACUUGCUUGCCGAGCAAUCGGUUUGCAGGCCAGCAUCAGUUUUCCGGGAUGGAUAAUGGUAGAGAGAAGGUAGCAGUUUCGGCUGUGUUAUAGCUCUCUGCUGGAUACAUCUUGGGGGACUGAGGAACGCAGUGUGCCUUUGGCGGGGGUUUCGACCUCUUCACACUUAGGAUGCUGGUGGAAUGGCUUUAAACGACCCGUCUUGAA
This 560-nucleotide ribosomal RNA is filed under the name Rhodotorula mucilaginosa. RNAcentral's name for it is "partial large subunit ribosomal RNA". It matches the Rfam family "Eukaryotic large subunit ribosomal RNA", at positions 81 to 658 of the family's 3401-position model. Lineage: Eukaryota; Fungi; Basidiomycota; Microbotryomycetes; Sporidiobolales; Sporidiobolaceae. The record is from RNAcentral.